GUGCUUGCUUCCGCAGCGCAUAUACUAAAAUUGGAACGAUGCAGAGAAGAUUAACAUGGCCUCUGCACAAGGAUGGCACACAAAUUCUUGAAGUGUUCCAUAUUUUA
RNAcentral lists this small nuclear RNA (107 nucleotides) under Erinaceus europaeus (western European hedgehog). Lineage: Eukaryota; Metazoa; Chordata; Mammalia; Eulipotyphla; Erinaceidae. The record is from RNAcentral.